RNAcentral lists this ribosomal RNA (481 nucleotides) under uncultured bacterium. RNAcentral's name for it is "partial 16S ribosomal RNA". It matches the Rfam family "Bacterial small subunit ribosomal RNA", at positions 28 to 507 of the family's 1533-position model. The record is from RNAcentral.
GAUGAACGCUGGCGGCGUGCUUAACACAUGCAAGUCGAGCGAAGCACUUUAUUUGAUUUCCUUCGGGACUGAUUAUUUUGUGACUGAGUGGCGGACGGGUGAGUAACGCGUGGGUAACCUGCCUUGUACAGGGGGAUAACAGUUGGAAACGGCUGCUAAUACCGCAUAAGCGCACAGCAUCGCAUGAUGCAGUGUGAAAAACUCCGGUGGUAUAAGAUGGACCCGCGUUGGAUUAGCUAGUUGGUGAGGUAACGGCCCACCAAGGCGACGAUCCAUAGCCGACCUGAGAGGGUGACCGGCCACAUUGGGACUGAGACACGGCCCAAACUCCUACGGGGGGCAGCAGUGGGGAAUAUUGCACAAUGGGCGAAAGCCUGAUGCAGCGACGCCGCGUGAGCGAAGAAGUAUUUCGGUAUGUAAAGCUCUAUCAGCAGGGAAGAUAAUGACGGUACCUGACUAAGAAGCACCGGCUAAAUACGUG